UCCUCUAGACACUGCCUACCCUCAAUUAUCUUACAUACUGUGUGUCUGUUGCCUGAAGAUCAAAGCCCUACAAAGAUUGAGGAAACUUAUUCCCAGACUGACAGUAAGCCACAGAAGUUCUCAAAGACAUUCUAUCAUGUCAUAGAGAGACUGAUAUGCAUCAGAAGACAGCAUGUCCACAAUGGUGAGAUAAUGGAUCCUUGCAUGCAAAGGUCAUGGCCACCUGCAUUGGAUGAGGACAUUAAUGAUGGCAGCUGGAGUAAGCCUGGGAGAAGGUAUUUUAUUCUGAGGUGGAGGAGAAACUUUGAAUGUCCUCAAGAGAGAGAAUGAGUUUGUGUCAUCAUUAUUCCUUAGACUAGGAGUUUUAGUCUUUUUUGUGCUCUUUGACAAUCUGGUGAAACUUAUAAAUCCCUUCUCAGAAUAAUUAUUUUAAAUGCAAAAAAAUUACAUUGGAUUAUAAAGGAAACCAAUUGUAUUUGAAGUAUAGUUAUCAAAAUAUAUUAAAAAAACAAAAACAAGUCCACAAAUUUCAAAGCUAGUUUAAAAAAAAAACCCUGGAAACAAAUAUGAUCCACAGAGAGAAAUUCCUCAGGCUGGGGGGAAAAAAAAUAUUGCAGCUGUGGAUUGGCACCAAGGCCAUUAGGUAGGUUUAUUGUUGGACAACCAGCUGGAAGAGUUUCUAGCACCAGACUCAGUUCCUCAUUAGACCAUAUAUAUUAGAAUAUAUGAUUAUAACUGGGACCAUUAUUAUUUUAUAUGGUCCUCUCUCUUUACAUGUGUGGACAUAUAGUAGGCUGGACAUAACCCAAGCACCCUAGUUCCAUUUAAUCACUUAACAUCAGGUAACUUUUAGAAAGGGAUAGUUAAUUCAAAGAUAUAGUAAGAACAAACAUACAAGCAUUUCUCUCAAUACCUCCAGGGCAUAGUCUCUCCUAUACUACCUCAGUCUCUGGCAGAGUAAGCUUGAAAUUUUGCUCAGUUCUACACAGGAUUAGUCCCACCAAGUUCUUCUUCAAAGAUUGUAUUACUGCUGGAUGAGUCU
This 1042-nucleotide long non-coding RNA is filed under the name Monodelphis domestica (gray short-tailed opossum). RNAcentral's name for it is "lncRNA (ENSMODG00000046669.1)". Lineage: Eukaryota; Metazoa; Chordata; Mammalia; Didelphimorphia; Didelphidae. The record is from RNAcentral.